This 864-nucleotide long non-coding RNA is filed under the name Scleropages formosus (Asian bonytongue). RNAcentral's name for it is "lncRNA (ENSSFOG00015029986.1)". The record is from RNAcentral. Lineage: Eukaryota; Metazoa; Chordata; Actinopteri; Osteoglossiformes; Osteoglossidae.
CACACACACAUUUUCAGAACCGCUUGUCCCAUACGGGGUCACAGGGAACCGGAGCUUACCCGGCAACACAGGGCGUAAGGCCGGAGGGGGAGGGGACACACCCAGGACGGGACGCCAGUCCACCGCAAGGCACCCCAAGCGGGACUCAAACCCCAGACCCACCAGAGAGCAGGACCUGGUCCAACCCACUGCGCCACCGCACCCCGCUUUAAAAAUAUAACUUUGAACAAAUGUGAAAUAAAAUACUAUCACUGCACAAAAGAUUUAAAUUAAAAAAAAAGAUUUAAAUUUUACACAAAAAUUAUUUCAAACCCCUUUGCUGAACUACCAUGAAUAGCUACAAAACAAAUGUACAAAUACCUUUGCACCAGGCAACCAUCGAACCCACAACCGAAGACUUUGAAAGUCACAGUUUGGUGUUUACAGUUGUUAUUUAUGGGAAUAGUUAUUGUUUGUAUUCUACAGACUUCUUUUCUCCCACACACACGAAGCCCUUUAACUAAUGUAAUAACUACAGCUGCUGUGCUGUAGUGUGGAAUGUGUAAAAUAUAAUACAAUGCUGACUUUCACUCCACUACACCACGAAGGCCCCAACAAAUGAGAUGUGAAGCAGUUGUUGUGUAAUCAGGUCUUAAACACACUUGAGAAGCUGCGCAAAAUGGCAAUAACCGCUUGUCCCAUACGGGGUCACGGAGCCUACCCGGCAACACAGGGCGUAAGGCCGGAGGGGGAAGGGGACACACCCAGGACAGGACGCCAGUCCGCCGCAAGGCACCCCAAGCGGGACUUGAACCCCAGACCCACCGAAGAGCAGGACUGCGGUCCAACCUACUGCGCCACCGCACCCCCUGCAUUAAUCACAUU